RNAcentral lists this ribosomal RNA (367 nucleotides) under Poecilus cupreus. RNAcentral's name for it is "SSU rRNA". It matches the Rfam family "Eukaryotic small subunit ribosomal RNA", at positions 583 to 885 of the family's 1831-position model. The record is from RNAcentral. Lineage: Eukaryota; Metazoa; Arthropoda; Insecta; Coleoptera; Carabidae.
UUCCAGCUCCAAUAGCGUAUAUUAAAGUUGUUGCGGUUAAAAAGCUCGUAGUUGAAUUUGUGUCCCGCACUGUCGGUUCACCGCCCGCGGUGCUAACUGGCAUGUUUGCGGGACGUCCUGCCGGUGGAUGUUCAGUUGUUAUUUGAUCCUUUGGGUUAUUUACAACUUCAUCCGACUUUGAAAUCCUGUCGCGGUGCUCUUAAUUGAGUGUCGAGGCGGGCCGGCACGUUUACUUUGAACAAAUUAAAGUGCUCAAAGCAGGCUAAUUAAUGCCUGAAUAAUUAGUGCAUGGAAUAAUGAAACAGGACCUUGGUUCUAUUUUGUUGGUUUUCGGAACCCCAAGGUAAUGAUUAAUAGGGACAGAUGG